RNAcentral lists this ribosomal RNA (2923 nucleotides) under Klebsiella pneumoniae. RNAcentral describes it as "bacterial LSU rRNA". It matches the Rfam family "Bacterial large subunit ribosomal RNA". The record is from RNAcentral. Lineage: Bacteria; Pseudomonadati; Pseudomonadota; Gammaproteobacteria; Enterobacterales; Enterobacteriaceae. RNAcentral also lists the same sequence under 1 other name.
GGGUUGUGAGGUUAAGCGACUAAGCGUACACGGUGGAUGCCCUGGCAGUCAGAGGCGAUGAAGGACGUGCUAAUCUGCGAAAAGCGUCGGUAAGGUGAUAUGAACCGUUAUAACCGGCGAUGUCCGAAUGGGGAAACCCAGUGCAAUUCGUUGCACUAUCGUUAACUGAAUACAUAGGUUAACGAGGCGAACCGGGGGAACUGAAACAUCUAAGUACCCCGAGGAAAAGAAAUCAACCGAGAUUCCCCCAGUAGCGGCGAGCGAACGGGGAGCAGCCCAGAGUCUGAAUCAGCUUGUGUGUUAGUGGAACGGUCUGGAAAGUCCGACGGUACAGGGUGAUAGUCCCGUACACCAAAAUGCACAGGCUGUGAACUCGAAGAGUAGGGCGGGACACGUGGUAUCCUGUCUGAAUAUGGGGGGACCAUCCUCCAAGGCUAAAUACUCCUGACUGACCGAUAGUGAACCAGUACCGUGAGGGAAAGGCGAAAAGAACCCCGGCGAGGGGAGUGAAAAAGAACCUGAAACCGUGUACGUACAAGCAGUGGGAGCACCUUCGGGUGUGACUGCGUACCUUUUGUAUAAUGGGUCAGCGACUUAUAUUCUGUAGCAAGGUUAACCGUAUAGGGGAGCCGCAGGGAAACCGAGUCUUAACUGGGCGUUAAGUUGCAGGGUAUAGACCCGAAACCCGGUGAUCUAGCCAUGGGCAGGUUGAAGGUUGGGUAACACUAACUGGAGGACCGAACCGACUAAUGUUGAAAAAUUAGCGGAUGACUUGUGGCUGGGGGUGAAAGGCCAAUCAAACCGGGAGAUAGCUGGUUCUCCCCGAAAGCUAUUUAGGUAGCGCCUCGUGAACUCAUCUUCGGGGGUAGAGCACUGUUUCGGCUAGGGGGUCAUCCCGACUUACCAACCCGAUGCAAACUACGAAUACCGAAGAAUGUUAUCACGGGAGACACACGGCGGGUGCUAACGUCCGUCGUGAAGAGGGAAACAACCCAGACCGCCAGCUAAGGUCCCAAAGUCAUGGUUAAGUGGGAAACGAUGUGGGAAGGCACAGACAGCCAGGAUGUUGGCUUAGAAGCAGCCAUCAUUUAAAGAAAGCGUAAUAGCUCACUGGUCGAGUCGGCCUGCGCGGAAGAUGUAACGGGGCUAAACCAUGCACCGAAGCUGCGGCAGCGACACUAUGUGUUGUUGGGUAGGGGAGCGUUCUGUAAGCCUGCGAAGGUGACCUGUGAGGGUUGCUGGAGGUAUCAGAAGUGCGAAUGCUGACAUAAGUAACGAUAAAGCGGGUGAAAAGCCCGCUCGCCGGAAGACCAAGGGUUCCUGUCCAACGUUAAUCGGGGCAGGGUGAGUCGACCCCUAAGGCGAGGCCGAAAGGCGUAGUCGAUGGGAAACAGGUUAAUAUUCCUGUACUUGGUGUUACUGCGAAGGGGGGACGGAGAAGGCUAUGUUAGCCGGGCGACGGUUGUCCCGGUUUAAGCAUGUAGGCUGGUUAUCCAGGCAAAUCCGGAUAAUCAAGGCUGAGGUGUGAUGACGAGGCACUACGGUGCUGAAGUAACAAAUGCCCUGCUUCCAGGAAAAGCCUCUAAGCAUCAGGUAACAUCAAAUCGUACCCCAAACCGACACAGGUGGUCAGGUAGAGAAUACCAAGGCGCUUGAGAGAACUCGGGUGAAGGAACUAGGCAAAAUGGUGCCGUAACUUCGGGAGAAGGCACGCUGGUGUGUAGGUGAAGUCCCUGCGGAUGGAGCUGAGACCAGUCGAAGAUACCAGCUGGCUGCAACUGUUUAUUAAAAACACAGCACUGUGCAAACACGAAAGUGGACGUAUACGGUGUGACGCCUGCCCGGUGCCGGAAGGUUAAUUGAUGGGGUUAUCCGUAAGGAGAAGCUCUUGAUCGAAGCCCCGGUAAACGGCGGCCGUAACUAUAACGGUCCUAAGGUAGCGAAAUUCCUUGUCGGGUAAGUUCCGACCUGCACGAAUGGCGUAAUGAUGGCCAGGCUGUCUCCACCCGAGACUCAGUGAAAUUGAACUCGCUGUGAAGAUGCAGUGUACCCGCGGCAAGACGGAAAGACCCCGUGAACCUUUACUAUAGCUUGACACUGAACAUUGAGCCUUGAUGUGUAGGAUAGGUGGGAGGCUUUGAAGCGUGGACGCCAGUCUGCGUGGAGCCAACCUUGAAAUACCACCCUUUAAUGUUUGAUGUUCUAACGUUGGCCCCUGACCGGGGUUGCGGACAGUGUCUGGUGGGUAGUUUGACUGGGGCGGUCUCCUCCCAAAGCGUAACGGAGGAGCACGAAGGUUAGCUAAUCCUGGUCGGACAUCAGGAGGUUAGUGCAAUGGCAUAAGCUAGCUUGACUGCGAGCGUGACGGCGCGAGCAGGUGCGAAAGCAGGUCAUAGUGAUCCGGUGGUUCUGAAUGGAAGGGCCAUCGCUCAACGGAUAAAAGGUACUCCGGGGAUAACAGGCUGAUACCGCCCAAGAGUUCAUAUCGACGGCGGUGUUUGGCACCUCGAUGUCGGCUCAUCACAUCCUGGGGCUGAAGUAGGUCCCAAGGGUAUGGCUGUUCGCCAUUUAAAGUGGUACGCGAGCUGGGUUUAGAACGUCGUGAGACAGUUCGGUCCCUAUCUGCCGUGGGCGCUGGAGAAUUGAGGGGGGCUGCUCCUAGUACGAGAGGACCGGAGUGGACGCAUCACUGGUGUUCGGGUUGUCAUGCCAAUGGCACUGCCCGGUAGCUAAAUGCGGAAGAGAUAAGUGCUGAAAGCAUCUAAGCACGAAACUUGCCCCGAGAUGAGUUCUCCCUGAGACUUUAAGUCUCCUGAAGGAACGUUGAAGACGACGACGUUGAUAGGCCGGGUGUGUAAGCGCAGCGAUGCGUUGAGCUAACCGGUACUAAUGAACCGUGAGGCUUAACCUUACAACGCCGAAG